This 253-nucleotide ribosomal RNA is filed under the name uncultured bacterium. RNAcentral describes it as "partial 16S ribosomal RNA". It matches the Rfam family "Bacterial small subunit ribosomal RNA", at positions 524 to 776 of the family's 1533-position model. The record is from RNAcentral.
UACGUAGGGACCGAGCGUUGUCCGGAUUCAUUGGGCGUAAAGAGCUCGUAGGCGGCUGCUCAAGUCGAAUGUGAAAACUCGAGGCUCAACCUCGAGCCUGCAGUCGAUACGGGCAGACUAGAGUGCUGUAGGGGAGACUGGAAUUCCUGGUGUAGCGGUGAAAUGCGCAGAUAUCAGGAGGAACACCGGUGGCGAAGGCGGGUCUCUGGGCAGUAACUGACGCUGAGGAGCGAAAGCGUGGGGAGCGAACAGG